AGUGAACGCUGGCGGUAGGCCUAACACAUGCAAGUCGAACGGCAGCACAGUAAGAGCUUGCUCUUACGGGUGGCGAGUGGCGGGUGGGUGAGGAAUACAUCGGAAUCUACUUUUUCGUGGGGGUGAACGAAGGGAACCUUACGCUAAUAGCGCAUAGGACCUGGGGGUGAGAGGGGGGGAUCUGCGGCGGUUAGGGGUGUGAUUGAGGCGUGGGAGGUUUUGGGAGUGGGGGGGGUAAAGGCCCACCAAGGCGAGGAGCCGUAGCUGGUGUGGGAGGGUGGUCGGCCACAGUGGAACGGAGACACGGUCGAGACUCCUACGGGAGGCAGAAGUGUGGAAUAUUGGACAAUGGGCGCAAGCGUGCUCCAGCCAUACCGCGUGUGUGAAGAAGGCGUUCGGGUGGUAAAGCCCUUUUGGUGGGAAAGAAAAGCAGCAGGUGAAUACCCCGCUGUUCUGACGGUACCCAAAGAAUAAGCACCGGCUAACUUCGUG
RNAcentral lists this ribosomal RNA (492 nucleotides) under uncultured bacterium. RNAcentral describes it as "partial 16S ribosomal RNA". It matches the Rfam family "Bacterial small subunit ribosomal RNA", at positions 30 to 507 of the family's 1533-position model. The record is from RNAcentral.